AUUGAACGCUGGCGGCAUGCCUUACACAUGCAAGUCGAACGGCAGCACGGGUGCUUACACCUGGUGGCGAGUGGCGAACGGGUGAGUAAUACAUCGGAACGUACCUUAUCGUGGGGGAUAACGCAGCGAAAGCUGUGCUAAUACCGCAUACGCCCUGAGGGGGAAAGUGGGGGAUCGAAAGACCUCGCGCGAUUAGAGCGGCCGAUGCCUGAUUAGCUUGUUGGUGGGGUAAAAGCCCACCAAGGCGACGAUCAGUAGCUGGUCUGAGAGGACGAUCAGCCACACUGGGACUGAGACACGGCCCAGACUCCUACGGGAGGCAGCAGUGGGGAAUUUUGGACAAUGGGGGCAACCCUGAUCCAGCAAUGCCGCGUGAGUGAAGAAGGCCUUUGGGUUGUAAAGCUCUUUUGUCAGGGAAGAAACACCGGCUCUAACACAGUCCGGGAAUGACGGUACCUGAAGAAUAAGCACCGGCUAACUACGUGCCAGCAGCCGCCGUAA
This 501-nucleotide ribosomal RNA is filed under the name uncultured bacterium. RNAcentral describes it as "partial 16S ribosomal RNA". It matches the Rfam family "Bacterial small subunit ribosomal RNA", at positions 30 to 523 of the family's 1533-position model. The record is from RNAcentral.